GGCAUUGUUGGAUGCCUCCACUUCAACACGUCCUCAUCUACUCACCAUGAUCUCAUCCAUUAACCCCUCUCUACUCCGCCGCCGGUCUCCCAUGGAGAUCUCCUCCAUUGCUGCAUUGGUCACGAACCCACCAGCACCAUACCGGAGACCCACACGAGCAGGCCGAGUCCGGCGUGCUGGCUACAGAGACGAGGCUCUGCGGCGGAGGAGGCCGACGCGGUGCCGUAUCGUACGGUGAGGAGCAGCGUGGGAAGAGGUCUGAGCUCGCCGGGAUUGUGGUGACGGCGACGGCGGCGGCAGCGGCGAUUACGUUUCUUUCCCGGAACAGAGGGAGAGGCUUAGGUUCGCCAAACCGCUGCCCCGCCGAGCCGCCCCUCCCACGUUGAGCGGCGGCGGGAUACGUGCGCGCCAUGGCGGGGGCUCAAGGGCCGAUCCUCUGCCCCGCGGAGCCACCUCUCCCGCGUGUUACAGACGCUAUCCCCCCACCUCCACCGGCCUGCCCCUUCCCGGGCCCGACCCUCCCGCCCCGGUCUCUUCUCCGCCCUGAUCUCCUCUGAUGCGGCGGUUCACUGGCGGAGGGAAACGCCGGAAGCACUCGCCGACGUCUUCGAUGCCGCAGCGGCUACGGCAGGUGGCCGGCGAUGUCCAGGGCCGGUGCGUGGAAGAGAUAAGCCCUGACUCCUGGUGCUUUGACUCUGUUCUCCUUGAAGUGAUCACGUUUCUUAGGUUUGCAGGCAGCUAGCUAGAGUGUGCGUGGGCACAAGUGGAUGUGUCAAUUGAUAAAUCGGUGACUGAUCAAAAUUCUGCUGCAAGUUCAACAUCCACGACUGUCAACAGAAGUGCAAGAGCCUACCUCCCAGCUGUGUAAUGCAAGACACCGACAAAGGCUACAGCCUACAAAGCUUCUGUAGUUUUCUAUGUGCCACAACGAGCCGAAAGAUUCUUUGUGGAAAAAGGGAGGUAAGAUUUCAAAGCAACCUACAUUAUUUAAAGAGCAGUGUUUCUUAAUAUAUAGGGUCAUGCGAUUGUCUCUCAAGCCUUUCGUCAAGCCACUUACUUUCAUAUUGCUCCCAGGUUGUGUAAUUUUGGCAACCUUCCAAAUUUGAAAGUAAAUUUCCAUGGAUUAAUCAAAUUCGGUGGAUAACACCACUUUGUAUAUGGGUUUCUUUUCCUAGCACUAACUUUUACAUAUGCCCAUCCCACCUUUAUGCUGAUGUUUAGAGAUAUUCUUUAAAGCAUAUGCUUGCAUGCGUUCUUUAAAUUCGGCGAAUGAUGCAUCAAUUUGUUUACAAUAUUCUUUGCCUAGCAUCAACUUUAUAUGCGUUAAUUUUUCUCCAUUGCCCAUUCCAAUUUUUAUGUAUGUUAAGAUAUAUGUAACCUUAAGUUAUAAUUCACAGGCUUGAGACUGCACUUUUCCUGUUGGCCUGGAAGUGCAUAAAUAUUCGUUAUUUCUAUUUUAAGUCUCUGAAAAAUAGAUACAUGACUUUUCGAGGAAAACUAGGUAUAAAACAGCGUAUGUUUUUCUUCUUGGUGCCUAUUGUAACAAGUCAGCCCAAGCAGCAUUCGUCGAAAAUAAGAAGUCAUCCAAGCAACAUUCCUCGAAAGAAAGGAAGUGAGCACGGCAUCUAAUUGGCUACAUCUAACUGGUGGCAAAACCCAGAUGGCAGGCUAACUGGUUUUGGACAUCACUUUGACUACUAUAGAAUUAGGAUGGUAGAUCGUUUCUGACAAGACUCACUCUGACGUCAGGUCUAAUGUUUUCGGGGUCUUCAAUCUGGACAUGAUAACUAUUAUGUUUGAGAAAUCAAUACGCUAGGGACUAUGCGCGGUGGUGGUAAGGUAUAUUCAGUAGCUCCUUCAUUGCUGCAAAUAUUGGAGGGUUUUCAAAUGAGGUAUGCGAUCAUAAGUUGGAAUGGUAAGUUUUAAAAUUGUAACAUGGUGACCGUUUCUCUGACCAUCUGCCUCUAGAUUUUAUUAACUCCUCCGACUUUUCGGUUUUAAUCAGCACAUGAACACAGGACAAACGAACUAGCAGUGGUUCCAAUUAAAGUCAAUUAAAUGGGAGCGGAGGGAGUAUUAUAGAUCUUGCAAAUGAAGUAUUCUCUGAAGAGCUACUUGAGUAUUCUAGAGAAAAAAUUGUAGCCCUUGCCAUUUUUUCAUAGAUGUUCACGACAUAUCUGACUAAAUGGAUUCUUGUUGUGAUUGAAGCUGGGAUUCAUCCUGUACACCAGAAGGAGAUUAAGGCCGAGAAAGGAUCUCCAGUGAUGUCACCACCGACAACGAAGGAGGAGAUGCAGAGCGCAAUUGGAGCUCUGCCUGGCUCUCCACCGUUUUAGAGCUCCAUUGCGAAACGACCAGCUGCACAACCGAGCGCAAAAGGCAAUAAAAGAAAGGCUGGUAGGAAUCCGAAGGGAGUAGGUCAGGAACAGAAAAACGAGGCCCGCACCUGCUGGUUGGAUUUUUGCCUUAGGCCAGGUUACACCGUUGUUUCAAACGCAGUCACCGACAACCCUUAUGAUACACUCAAGAUUCCAAAGGCGUUCUGUCUGUACAUCAUCGGUGAUUUUCCACAGAAAGUCAUGCUCGGCAACACCAUUGGAGACACAUGGAGUGUUCGACUGGUGAAAUGGAGGAACACAUCUUCAUUGAGCACGGAUGGGAUGCAUUCGCGGAGGCCAACAACAUUGCGGAAGGUGAUACUCUGUUCUUAGUUCUUACUUACACCUGACGUAGACAGCGAUAUAGUUACCCAUAUGUGCAAAGGUCUGGCCACAUGUUCAUCUAAAUGUUCAAUUACUUGGUCCAUCUGAUGCUGCCAUUGAAUGAAUAGCUAUUUGUGUUUAUGCUCUUCUAAAUGAGGUGGAAAUAUUGCCAGUUCACAACAAAAUGAUGUUAGCCUGUAUGAAAACUAGGUGGUGAUUUGCCUCUCCCUCACUCUCAUUUGCACUGAUCCUUAUGUACCUCUGUAUAGAUAGGCUCCUUUAGGCGCUGAUGUCUGUUUCACGGUAACAUAAACUUGGCACCAUAUUAUAAGACGGCAUGCUCCUUCCAUCCUGAGCACUUGAUUGAUUUGUUCAAUGCAACCUGCCAUUUUGUUUGAGACCUGUCUUUUCAAUUAUAGCAUGCAAAAAUUACCUAUACCCUACACCUGCAGCUAAAGAAAAGAUCUUAGAAUCGGCUUCCAAGUUAUUAGGAUUUAUUUCUUGACGAGUCCAUAAAGUUAAAUACCCUGUACUUUUCACCUGCAAGAAAUAUACCAUGAAUUGUUUUGUUCUGCUCUUAGAUUUGAUCUGGGUGCCAUUGUAGACCUUGAUAUGUUUCAGGACAUAAGCGGCAGGGAAGAGAAUGGGAGGAUGCCUUCGGCGAUCAGGUGGAGCUAUAAUUGUCACGCAAGGGGAGAAAGUUUUUGGAAGAAACCAUAUCCAGGCUGAAUAUAAAUUGUACUCUAUGCGAUAGUAUAGAUCUUGAUUUUUUCUCAGCAACUCCGUCCUUUCCUUUGUCAGUGGAAGUAGAAAACGUGCCACAGCUGGAGAUUUUGUAGCUUAUAUAUGAGGUUGGAACACAACCUCUACUUUAUUUGUGUUAAUUAUUUGUAGUUCUUGGUGGCUCACCAGAAUGAGCACUUAUAUGUCCUGUAUGGCUGUAUGAUUUGAUAGAAUUCCACCAUGGUUUUGUGACCAAAAAGAUUGAAAUACAGGUCGCCACAGGCCUACUAGCUUGCAGCAAAAA
Long non-coding RNA from Lolium perenne, 3729 nucleotides. RefSeq lists it as uncharacterized. NCBI's taxonomy places the organism in Eukaryota, Viridiplantae, Streptophyta, Magnoliopsida, Poales, Poaceae. The record is from RefSeq and is a predicted model, not a curated record.